This 253-nucleotide ribosomal RNA is filed under the name uncultured bacterium. Its description in RNAcentral is "partial 16S ribosomal RNA". It matches the Rfam family "Bacterial small subunit ribosomal RNA", at positions 524 to 776 of the family's 1533-position model. The record is from RNAcentral.
GACGAACCGAGCGAACGUUAUUCGGAAUCACUGGGCUUAAAGGGCGCGUAGGCGGACCGUCAAGUCAGGGGUGAAAGCCCGCGGCUCAACCGCGGAAGUGCCUUUGAUACUGGCGGCCUAGAGGGAGGUAGGGGUCUGUGGAACUUCCGGUGGAGCGGUGAAAUGCGUUGAUAUCGGAAGGAACGCCGGUGGCGAAAGCGACGGACUGGAUCUCUUCUGACGCUGAGGCGCGAAAGCCAGGGGAGCAAACGGG